AGGACAAGGCAUAGAAGUGUUGAAGAAUGAGUUUCUGUUGAUCUCCAAAGUCCAACACAAGAAUCUUGUAAAGCUCAUGGGUUGCUGCAUUAAAGAUGAUGAGAAGUUGAUGCGAAACAAAAGCCUGGAUAUGAUAUUAUUGGGUUAGUUUCACUGGCCCUUUAUGUUUGGCUGCAAUUUCUCAUUGUUACCUAUCUUUCUUCAAUAUCCUUGAUAAUGUCUGAGCUCUUCCUAUCCUAGUACGCCCAACUCAGGGGAACUAUUGAUUUCAUUUCUAAUGGCAAUGGGAAGACCAGUGCUUGACUGGGUUAAACGCUUCAAUAUUAUUCAAGGUGUUGCUAGAGGACUUGUUUAUCUCCACCAUGAUUCCUGUUUGAAGGUGUUGGUUGGCACGUAUCUUUCAAGGGACACACAAUCUAGCAAACACUCAGAGUCAGAAGGUUGUGGGAACUCUGUGCACCCAUAUACAUACUGAAAUGAGAACUCGUUCCUGCACUUUAACUUUCAUCAAGAUCCGUAUGCGGAGUACGAUUAUUGGAUUAAUGAGAUAGGUGUUGAUGGACUUUUUACAGACUUUACAGGCAGCCUGCAUAAUUAUCAAGAGUGGAGCUCCUUUAAGGAAAGUGAUGACAAGAAUGCAUCAAACUUACUGCAUAAAAUAGCGUCAAUGGUCUCUCCCUAUGGAA
Molecule: non-coding RNA, 686 nt
Organism: Prunus avium (sweet cherry)
Lineage: Eukaryota; Viridiplantae; Streptophyta; Magnoliopsida; Rosales; Rosaceae
Source: RefSeq, a predicted model, not a curated record